This 406-nucleotide ribosomal RNA is filed under the name uncultured bacterium. Its description in RNAcentral is "partial 16S ribosomal RNA". It matches the Rfam family "Bacterial small subunit ribosomal RNA", at positions 30 to 526 of the family's 1533-position model. The record is from RNAcentral.
AUUGAACGCUGUCGGCAGGCCUAACACAUGCAAGUCGAACGAGUGGCGGACGGGUGAGUAAUGUCUGUGAAACUGCCUGAUGGAGGGGGCUAACUACUGGAAACGGUAGCUAAUACCGCAUACUCUCGGAUGUGCCCAGAUGGGAUGAGCUAGUAGUUGGGGUAAAGGCUCACCUAGGCGACGAUCUCUAGCUGGUCUGAGAGGAUGAUCAGCCACACUGGAACUGAGACACGGUCCAGACUCCUACGGGAGGCAGCAGUGGGGAAUAUUGCACAAUGGGCGCAAGCCUGAUGCAGCCAUGCCGCGUGUAUGAAGAAGGCCUUCGGGUUGUAAAGUACUUUCAGCGGGGAGGCGUUACCCGCAGAAGAAGCACCGGCUAACUCCGUGCCAGCCGCCGCGGUAAUUC